CCUGCUUUCAGUUGCUACCGGGUCAUGCCGAGCACUCUGAAAGGACUGCCCAGGAUAACGGGGAGGAAGGUGGGAUGACGUCAAGUCAGCAUGGCCUUUAUGCCUGGGGCCACACACGUGCUACAAUGGCCGGUACAAAGCGCUGCAAAC
RNAcentral lists this ribosomal RNA (150 nucleotides) under uncultured Nitrospira sp. RNAcentral describes it as "partial 16S ribosomal RNA". It matches the Rfam family "Bacterial small subunit ribosomal RNA", at positions 1104 to 1254 of the family's 1533-position model. The record is from RNAcentral. Lineage: Bacteria; Pseudomonadati; Nitrospirota; Nitrospiria; Nitrospirales; Nitrospiraceae.